Molecule: microRNA precursor, 63 nt
Filed under: Microcaecilia unicolor
Lineage: Eukaryota; Metazoa; Chordata; Amphibia; Gymnophiona; Siphonopidae
Description: Mun-Mir-92-P1d_pre stem-loop
Source: RNAcentral
UGGUACGGGGUGCUGUGCAUUGUUGUCCUAUCACCUACCAAUAUUGCACUCGUCCCGGCCUCC